RNAcentral lists this long non-coding RNA (614 nucleotides) under Mytilus galloprovincialis (Mediterranean mussel). The record is from RNAcentral. Lineage: Eukaryota; Metazoa; Mollusca; Bivalvia; Mytilida; Mytilidae.
UUACUUUUACUUGUGUUUUAGAACAAUAAUAUAUUUUGAUUUUUAUUUGUUUUUAAAACUAUUUUUGUACAAUAUAUAAUUAACUUGCAAAAUGCAUUAUUUGUGCAUAAUUGUCCAGAAAAUACAUACACAAAUUGUGAAAUACAAAUUAAGAACUGAAAUCAAACAAGAGGAAAACAUAAUUAAAAUGUGAAUAUUUUUCAUCAUUUUAUUUAGUGUAUUGUCUCAUUUAACGAUAUUUAUCAUGUUUAUGCAUAUAGAUUGAAGAUUAAAGGAAACUGAUGACAAUCUUGAGUUUUCAACAGUCAGGUGUUCACUAUUCGGUACAAUAAUUGUAUAUUCUGGUGCAUGUAAUAGAUGAAGGUGUUAAUGGAUGUUAUUGUAGCAAUUAAACAAAGGACACGCACCUAGUUAAUCUCAUUUGAUGCUCUGAAUUGUGUAUUACCUUAGAGUGAAGCCACAGCUAAUGUUGGUCCUAUCAGGAAAAAUUAAUUGUACAGUUAGGAAGGAAAUAAUAUUUCAUGUUUUUUUUUAUUAAAUCCUUCAAAAGGAAGGUGACAAAUCUUUGUUUUUAUUUUCAUUUUAUAGCGUUUACAUUUCCUUUGCUCUUACAC